Solea senegalensis (Senegalese sole) is the source of this 4109-nucleotide long non-coding RNA. RefSeq lists it as uncharacterized. NCBI's taxonomy places the organism in Eukaryota, Metazoa, Chordata, Actinopteri, Pleuronectiformes, Soleidae. The transcript has 4 exons. The record is from RefSeq and is a predicted model, not a curated record.
UUUUGUUGGAAACUUAACAGCAGAAAAGUGCGAAGAAAACGGAAAAACUUGACUAAGUUCAGAGGAAACUCUUAAGUUGGUCUUUCAAGAUCAAUUCAACGUUUUGACCAUCAGGAAUGACUCCCCCUUUCUUUGACUGGACUCUACAACCCCAUACCCAAGAUGUUAGAAGCUCACCAAGGCGUAGACCAUACUGCAGCAGGAAAUCGACCAUGGCCAAAGGGCCCUAAGUUUGCCAACAAAAACAUUCUUCACUCCAUUACACCAGCACCAGCAGCCUGGAUGGCUGACAAAAUGCAGGUUGGCUCCAUUGAUUCAUGCUGCUACCACCAAAUUGUGACUCUGUACCAUCUGCAUGCCUCAGCAGGAAUCCAGAUUCAUCACGCCGGGCUCCUUUCAGUGAGCAUACACUGCACACUCCCAUUCCCUGUUCUCGACUGACUGUUUGUGUCAAGGUUUGAUGUGCUGUGCAUUCUGAGAUGCUUUUCUUUUUCGUGCCACAGCUCAUGAUCAAAGUCCCGGAGAUUACUUUCCCCCCUUGAUUCUGAUGUUUGAUGUGAAAAUUAACUGAACCUGACCUGACCUGUUGGAGCAGGAUUUAAUGCAUUGUUACUGCUGCAGGGUGAUUGGCAGGUUGCACCAAUAAGCAGCUGCAGUUAUUACUGAUGAUGUUAUGAGAAGUUUAUCAGUUAUUAGGUUAAGUAUUAAUCUGUUGUGAAAAGUGUUUCCCAAACUUUUGUCAUGGGGACAAACCACUAUGACACGUUUCACAAUGUAAAUCAUGAUGGCAGAUUUGUGCAUAAUUACAAUUAAAUAACAUUUUUGACUAUUUUACUGCCUAAAUGUUAUGUUAGUAUAUUGAGGCUGAUAGCUGAUACUUUGUCAUGGAACUAUGAUAAUAUCCGGGUUACAGCACAGAGCAACAAAUUGAAGGUUUUCAUUCAUUUGGGUUAGUGUGUUGUAAGUGUUUGGGGGAUCCCCUACAGUCUGGCCAAACCAUAUGUUGAGUGAAUUUUUCAUGUAUAUUAUUGGAAUUACAUUUGAAAUAUUGUGUCGCAACAGUGACUCAGCUGAUGUUGCUUUUAUCCAAUUGUUGUUUAGCCUUCUUUAGCAGGAGCAGUUAAAAACAACUUCAGUGGUUUGGUGCCUGAUAGAGGAACCUCAGUUUUUACACAAUCUGGAUUUAGCUGCUGUAGUCAGUUGCAUUAAUGAGGUAAUCAUUCGUGAUACGUUAGUUUAAGUCUUCAAAUUAAACUCCUGCAUGGAUUUUAUAUGUAGGUGGAAGAUGCUGUCCAUGGUGCUGAAUGAUAUGGGCUGAAAUUCAAAGGCAGCCUGUGACAAAUACUGCAUAUUUGCUGCCUGGACGACACUGGACUAAAUGUGAUGUUGUGUGUAUAUUGACCUUAAAAUGAACCAGACGUAUUAUGGGAUAUGAAACCAUACAAUACAAUCAAAAAGGGAUUCAAAAAAUUGUAAGAAUAUUGUAAGAAGAAAAGAAUAAACCUAAUUUGUAGCAGUAAUGAACUUGGUUUGUUGUUAAUUUAAGACACUAGCCAUUUUAAAUGUAUUCUAUAACUUUAAUAAUUAUUGUCAAGUUUGACAGUGGUCCACUGAUCAAAUUAAAACCACAGCUCCAUCAACAAUUGGUUAUAAAGAUAAGAUGGGGGAGAAAUUUAAAUUGGUAGAUCAGCACAGAGGCAUCAUCAUAAAAUAGCGAUUUCCGUAGGAUGUAAUACACAGUGUUUUUCUCUUUUAAGCCUCUAUCCACUAGGGAUGAGCAUUUUAUAAAAAGUGUUUACAAUGUUUUCAAUCUUGGUGAUCUAACGGUCACAUUAGUGAGCAGCAGACUGUGUACGUUUUAGUAGAUGUAGCAAUAAUCUCAGGCACCAGCUUGAAAAAGGGAAGAGCACUGGAAAUGCGCACGGACCAGGAGUGUCUGUACACAUGCUGCGGUAAAUAAUCAUUCCUCAUGUUGAAACCUACAGGGUUCUUUUUUUUUUGUACUCGCAGUCACAACCCACUGAGCAUUUACUUGCUGUUUUUUCAUUAGUGGGUUUAGACUCCCCACUAGUGGUGAAAGCAUGUGACUGUAAGCACUGAUUACUUUCAUGUUCAUGUAUGUUACACUGCAGAAGGUCACAUGAAAACCUCACAAUACAGCAGAAAAAAUGACAGCUAAUGCAUUUCUAUGAACAUGAAUAUUACUGACAAUGUGCCCCGAUAUCUAGAUAAUGCUUUUCAUCAAAUGACAGUUGUGUUUUAGAUUGAUGAGCAGCAAUAAUGACAUGUAAUGUAAUGUAAUGUUUUACACAUGCAUGUAAGUCUCUCUCUCUCUCUCUCUCUCUCUGUGCAUGUGAUCCACAUAAUGAUAAUGGGUGGCAUAUUACUGCGAAUAAAGACCAUGACGGAUAUUUAAAUUGUCCACAAGAUGGCAACAAAUGAGAAGCAGGGCGACAGUGACACAGAUGCUCACAUUAGGUGUCUAACAGCGGCACUGAUGCACCGAUGAGUCACUCUCAUAAACUAAACGUUAAAUAAUUGACGGCCUUUUCAGGCGUCCUCGCUUAAAGAGAAAAACAAAACACCGUCACUGACUGUUUAGAGGAGGGACUAAUUGAAAUGAUAAAUUAUUAAUUAUACAAAUUAUACAUUCAUCCAUCCAUCUUCUACCACUUUGCUGUGGCAAUCUCAGCUGACAUAGGGCCAUAGGCGGUAAUGUAAAAUGGUGUGUUUACCAUUAACUUGGUUUAUUGUCCCCAGUUUCUGUACAUUUGCAUGUCUCACUUUGGAGAUGUCUGACGGUAGCAGGCUUCUGCUGAAGUGGGCUUCAUUGCAUUUCAUACUUUUGAAUCUCCUUUGUGGUGGUAGGAGUUGGCUUUAAUGUUGAAUUGAGUAAUUGUACAGUAAUUAUGCUUGAUUUGAAUAUAUUAUGUUCACAAUUUAGGUUUGAACAACAUGUCUUUUGCCUGUUUCCUGCAAAUGAGCCGGUUACUUCUAAUUGUGUUCAUGCAGCGUGAUGAGCUGUUGCAAUAAAUAUCCUGUAAAUUAGCAUCCUCAAGAAUUGCAAAUCACCCCGUGGUCUGACAUAUUAAGCAAAUGAUUCCACAGUCGUAUCAUUUCACAUUUGCGCACUAUUGACUCAGGAAUCUGAACCGUAUUACUAUGAAGAGGGAGAAUAGGAGCGUGUUUAUGAACACUGUGUGUUACACCACUUCAUAUUUCAAAGUAUGUUUUUUUUUUAUGGCUUGUGAUUUUAUUCUGUUGGUUUUGUCUGAUGCUUUUAUUCUUGUGGUUUUAUGAUGUCUUCCAUUUUAUGUUUGUAUGUCUGCUGCUGUAUACUAAUGGGUCCAGCCUUGUUGAGCUUUAUUGUCCCAAUAAGGACAAUAAAGUAUUAUUAUCUAUCUUCUGUAUAUCUAUCUAUCUAUUUAGCCCCAGAUACCUGAAACAUAAUUAUAUAUGGCGAUAAGACUUAAAGAACUGUUAAAAAACUGUCAUCAGUGUGAAUGAAGUCUCCAGUCUGGUGGCAGCUGAAGCUUGAGCAGUGAACAGCCGAGGGCAGUGUUUCGUGGGGUUUGGCAUAUCGAUAUCAAAGACGGUCUCAGUGGUACGCGCAGGCGUGUGGAUGUCAACAGCUAUGCCACCAAUACACUUUGAGAUCAAUGUGAUAUCUCCUGCUGCUCCUCUGGCCCCAAAUGAAAUGUUUUCUCUUCUAACAGCUUUAUUGAUCACCUUUAACGAUGGUGGUGAGGAUCAAAGACGUUUACUGUACCCAGACAUCUCAGUGUUUCUGUUAAAAACCUGUUGUUGGUUUUUAAAAGUCCACAUUCUCCACCAGUCACAUAUGCAGGACACAGUCAUACAUUGUGUCCUGCAUGUAGGGCUGAUAUCUGAACUUUGAUGCAGAUUCCUGAACAAUACUUUGUUGUUAAAUCAGGGUUAGUCAAACUGGUGGCCGGGGGGCCACAUGCGGCCCUCCAAUUGAUUACAUGCAGCCCGCCCACGAAAGUGCUGUGCCACAGCUGCCAAGCAAGGUGAUGUAAUAUAAGACUAACUAUAUAUGACAUUCAGUUGUAAUUAUUGCUUUAUUAAAUGUAUUACACUCAACAUUA